RNAcentral lists this non-coding RNA (169 nucleotides) under uncultured Robinsoniella sp. Its description in RNAcentral is "Lysine riboswitch". It matches the Rfam family "Lysine riboswitch aptamer". From Rfam's summary of the family: Riboswitches are metabolite binding domains within certain messenger RNAs that serve as precision sensors for their corresponding targets. Allosteric rearrangement of mRNA structure is mediated by ligand binding, and this results in modulation of gene expression. The record is from RNAcentral. Lineage: Bacteria; Bacillati; Bacillota; Clostridia; Lachnospirales; Lachnospiraceae.
UAGAUAGAGGUUGCGUGUUUCAUCAGUAUAAAGUUGGAUAUGUUCAGGCAUAGAGGAAGAUUUUAGAAAGGGAAAGACGCCGAAAGGUGCGGUACCUGUAAUCGUAUUCUUGGGCAUAUGGCGAAUAGGCAUAUGACUGUCAUCAUAUUUUUAUGAUGGGGAGCUAUCC